Molecule: ribosomal RNA, 301 nt
Filed under: uncultured bacterium
Lineage: Bacteria
Description: partial 16S ribosomal RNA
Rfam family: Bacterial small subunit ribosomal RNA
Source: RNAcentral
CAGUCGCCGCGGUAAUACAGAGGGUGCGAGCGUUAAUCGGAUUUACUGGGCGUAAAGCGUGCGUAGGCGGCUUCUUAAGUCGGAUGUGAAAUCCCUGAGCUUAACUUAGGAAUUGCAUUCGAUACUGGGAAGCUAGAGUAUGGGAGAGGAUGGUAGAAUUCCAGGUGUAGCGGUGAAAUGUGUAGAGAUCUGGAGGAAUACCGAUGGCGAAGGCAGCCAUCUGGCCUAAUACUGACGCUGAGGUACGAAAGCAUGGGGAGCAAACAGGAUUAGAUACCCCUGUAGUCCCUGUCUCUUAUAC